This 257-nucleotide unclassified non-coding RNA is filed under the name plant metagenome. RNAcentral's name for it is "partial contains small subunit ribosomal RNA, internal transcribed spacer 1, and 5.8S ribosomal RNA". The record is from RNAcentral.
UUUCCGUAGGUGAACCUGCGGAAGGAUCAUUAUCGUAAAACCGAGGUGCGAGGGCUGUCGCUGACCUUUUCGGUCGUGCACGCCCGAGCGCUCUCACACAAUCCAUCUCACCCCAUGUGCACCACCGCGUGGGUCCCUUUCUGGCUCGUCCGGAGGGGGGCUCGCGUUUUCACACAAACUUGAAGUAGUGUAGAAUGUCCUUUUUUUGCGAUAACACGCAAUCAAUACAACUUUCAACAACGGAUCUCUUGGCUCUC